CCCCCCCCCCCCCUCCAAAGCAAGAAACAGUUCAUCCCCCACAUUAUAUAAUAUGUGGAUGUUAUUCAUUUCAACAUACAAUGAAGAGAUCAAGUCCCUCAAAAAACAAAAAGUUGAAUUAGUCAUGGUGAGCUACAUUACAGUAAAAUGCAGUCAGUCAAAUUAAUGAUACUACAUUCACACCACAAAAAAGACAGGAAAUAUAGUGGCUUGAGACAAACAUAAACAUAUCUGUUUCAAAGUAAGUGAUGGCCAAUAAAAGGUCACAACACUUUUGUAAACCAAUGAACAGCUUUACUUUGUAUGUUCUUUAAACACUGAACAGCUAAACUAUACUUUGUAUGUUCUUUA
Non-coding RNA from Biomphalaria pfeifferi, 351 nucleotides. The record is from the annotation of a GenBank genome assembly. NCBI's taxonomy places the organism in Eukaryota, Metazoa, Mollusca, Gastropoda, Planorbidae.